RNAcentral lists this ribosomal RNA (1019 nucleotides) under Enterococcus sp. 681B1_12ESB. Its description in RNAcentral is "bacterial SSU rRNA". It matches the Rfam family "Bacterial small subunit ribosomal RNA", at positions 53 to 1042 of the family's 1533-position model. The record is from RNAcentral. Lineage: Bacteria; Bacillati; Bacillota; Bacilli; Lactobacillales; Enterococcaceae.
ACAUGCAAGUCGAACGCUUCUUUUUCCACCGGAGCUUGCUCCACCGGAAAAAGAGGAGUGGCGAACGGGUGAGUAACACGUGGGUAACCUGCCCAUCAGAAGGGGAUAACACUUGGAAACAGGUGCUAAUACCGUAUAACAAUCGAAACCGCAUGGUUUUGAUUUGAAAGGCGCUUUCGGGUGUCGCUGAUGGAUGGACCCGCGGUGCAUUAGCUAGUUGGUGAGGUAACGGCUCACCAAGGCGACGAUGCAUAGCCGACCUGAGAGGGUGAUCGGCCACAUUGGGACUGAGACACGGCCCAAACUCCUACGGGAGGCAGCAGUAGGGAAUCUUCGGCAAUGGACGAAAGUCUGACCGAGCAACGCCGCGUGAGUGAAGAAGGUUUUCGGAUCGUAAAACUCUGUUGUUAGAGAAGAACAAGGAUGAGAGUAACUGUUCAUCCCUUGACGGUAUCUAACCAGAAAGCCACGGCUAACUACGUGCCAGCAGCCGCGGUAAUACGUAGGUGGCAAGCGUUGUCCGGAUUUAUUGGGCGUAAAGCGAGCGCAGGCGGUUUCUUAAGUCUGAUGUGAAAGCCCCCGGCUCAACCGGGGAGGGUCAUUGGAAACUGGGAGACUUGAGUGCAGAAGAGGAGAGUGGAAUUCCAUGUGUAGCGGUGAAAUGCGUAGAUAUAUGGAGGAACACCAGUGGCGAAGGCGGCUCUCUGGUCUGUAACUGACGCUGAGGCUCGAAAGCGUGGGGAGCAAACAGGAUUAGAUACCCUGGUAGUCCACGCCGUAAACGAUGAGUGCUAAGUGUUGGAGGGUUUCCGCCCUUCAGUGCUGCAGCUAACGCAUUAAGCACUCCGCCUGGGGAGUACGACCGCAAGGUUGAAACUCAAAGGAAUUGACGGGGGCCCGCACAAGCGGUGGAGCAUGUGGUUUAAUUCGAAGCAACGCGAAGAACCUUACCAGGUCUUGACAUCCUUUGACCACUCUAGAGAUAGAGCUUCCCCUUCGGGGGCAAAGUGACAGGUGGU